AAAAAAUAAAGGUAUCAACACCAAAUUAUCAUCAAUUUAAUACUAUACUUAAAGAAACUAAAAAUAUGUACAAUGUAUUAAAAUUUUAUCUAUUGACAAAUCUAAAUUUUAACAAUAUUGUUGUUUAUUUAAAAUUCAUAUUUUAUCAGUAUAUGUGAUUGUCGUUUUACUUAUUCUGGAAGAAACCUUCUAGAAUAAAUCCAUAUAGGGGAAUUCAAAUACAGGGAAAGACCAUGUAUAUGAGCUCCAAUUGUUAGGGUCACACAAUUAAUCGCUACUGCUGAAUGCUUACCAUACCGAAGAACACUUAACUUUUCCUCCUAUUGUCCACUCUCUCAUAUCAAUACGAUAACAACCACGACAUCAAUUUCAGUAUCCUAUGUAAUUCACAAACACACAAGCAUAAUCCAAACCCUGAAAUGAAAAACUUCCAAUCCACAGAAUUUGAUCAAGACAAAUCCUUGGAUUACAAUUUCUCUCUACUGAACUUUCAACCUUGCAAUAAACAGUGACUGGAAACUUCCAUACAUCAUCAAUCUUUCACAAUAAUUGAUAAACAGUGAUCCAUAAAUAACUUCAUAAAUCAAACAUUGAUUCAUUAAAUCAAUUCUCUUCACUAGAAUCAACACUAACACAAAAGAAACAAAAAAAAUUAAGAAGAAGAGAUAGCACCAAGCUUAUUUCCAGCUCAGUACUAUCACAGUCAAGCAUUUUCUUCCUCUCUCCCAUCCUCCUUAUACUAUCUUGAGAUACCAACUCCUAUACUAUGGAUGAUAACUACUUUUCUUGACUAUUCAUACAUUCUACCUGUUGAACCACCUUUUCAGCAGUUAUCUAUCCAUAUUUACACUAUAUACUAAGUAUCUAUAUUAUGAAAAUAACUACUUAUUCUACAUAGCCCCACUCUUAAUU
This 912-nucleotide long non-coding RNA is filed under the name Physcomitrium patens. Its description in RNAcentral is "long non-coding RNA (PPAT_LNC005298)". The record is from RNAcentral. Lineage: Eukaryota; Viridiplantae; Streptophyta; Bryopsida; Funariales; Funariaceae.